This 75-nucleotide transfer RNA is filed under the name Enterococcus sp. MMGLQ5-1. RNAcentral describes it as "tRNA-OTHER". It matches the Rfam family "tRNA". Rfam says of the family: Transfer RNA (tRNA) molecules are approximately 80 nucleotides in length. Lineage: Bacteria; Bacillati; Bacillota; Bacilli; Lactobacillales; Enterococcaceae. RNAcentral also lists the same sequence under 1 other name. The record is from RNAcentral.
UGAUGCGUAGCUCAGUUGGUGAAGCGUAUGAGAACGAUACUCAUGCAUAUUCAAGUUCAAAUCUUGGCGCAUCAU